This 385-nucleotide ribosomal RNA is filed under the name uncultured bacterium. RNAcentral describes it as "bacterial SSU rRNA". It matches the Rfam family "Bacterial small subunit ribosomal RNA", at positions 28 to 416 of the family's 1533-position model. The record is from RNAcentral.
GACGAACGCUGGCGGCGUGCUUAACACAUGCAAGUCGAGCGGUAAGGCCCUUUCGGGGGUACACGAGCGGCGAACGGGUGAGUAACACGUGGGUGACCUGCCCUCAGCUCUGGGAUAAGCCUGGGAAACCGGGUCUAAUACCGGAUAUGACUCCAUGACGCAUGUUGUGGGGUGAAAGCCUUGUGCGGCUGAGGGUGGGCCCGCGGCCUAUCAGCUUGUUGGUGGGGUGAUGGCCACCAAGGCGACGACGGUAGCCGGCCUGAGAGGGCGACCGGCCACACUGGGACUGAGACACGGCCCAGACUCCUACGGGAGGGCAGCAGUGGGGAAUCUUGCGCAAUGGGCGAAAGCCUGACGCAGCGACGCCGCGUGAGGGAUGACGGCC